This is a non-coding RNA of Podarcis lilfordi (Lilford's wall lizard), 74 nucleotides long. The record is from the annotation of a GenBank genome assembly. NCBI's taxonomy places the organism in Eukaryota, Metazoa, Chordata, Lepidosauria, Squamata, Lacertidae.
GUCUGGGAUGGCUAAAUUGGUAGAGCAAGUGAUGCUCCAGCUCAGGGCAGUGGGUUCGAGCCCCACGUUGGGCA